UUUUGCACUUCUCUCUCAUCAACACACUACUACAAACGAGAGAAACAAACCCUACCUUUCUUCUGCUCUCUCUUUUCCUUCAAACCCUACCUCCGCCGCCCCCAUUCGUCCUUCUCCUCUUGGUUGCCAAAAAUCUCGUCCUUCUUCUUUUGACAAACCCCCAUCCGCCUCGUCCCGCGAGCUCCUCAAACCAAAAGUCUGAAGAAGAUGAAAAAUCAUGUGAUGUGAAGAUGUUGUUGAUAGAGGUUGUUCCGAAGAAGAAGCACAUGAAGUUCAAACUUCAUAACCUUCAUAUUCUAAUAUAUUGUUUGUUUUUCCUCUAAUAGAUUGUUUGAUUCAUUCUAAUUUUAUUUUUUAUUUUAGGGCUUAUUUUCCUCCUCGUGGAACUAUGGGUAGAUAUAUGAACAGGUAACUUGUGUUUUUGAGGAUUAAUUUCUUGUACUACAUUAGUAACAGAUGAUAUGAAGUUUCCUAAUGUUGACAUUACUUCAUACCAUGCUUUUUUCGUUUCACAUUUGAUUAUAAGGCAAAUUAUCUGUUACAUGUAGAAAUUUCUAUUUGAAAUUCUCUCUUAUAUGUAGAAACUUUUGAUUCUCUGAUGGUAUUUGCAACUCCAAAGAUAUUUUCAGGCUGAUACUCUUCCUUGGAUUCAAAGACAGAAGGAGAAAGAAUAGAUUCUUCAGCAACACAUUUUAAGAGUGAUGAGAAUAGUGGAAGCGUUGGAGGGAAAAGGAUGUCGUAUUUCCUUAACAAAAGGGGAAGCUUAACUCGCGAAGAAAUUAUCCACAAUAACUAGACAGUUGAAAGGAUUUGGAGCACAAUUAUCUCGAAGGGAUCUGUUCGGGGAAUCCCGUGUAAAGGCUAAUAGAACUGGAUUUGGUGUGUUUUUUAAUCAAUCAUAUGUACAACAUAAUGCAUGGUCUUUAGAAGGUGAUGGUGUGUUUGUUGUUGAAUUGUAUUUGACUAAGGACGGACGGUUGUGAAUUUAUUAGUUCAUUAACUCUAAA
This is a long non-coding RNA of Vicia villosa (hairy vetch), 1007 nucleotides long. RefSeq lists it as uncharacterized. NCBI's taxonomy places the organism in Eukaryota, Viridiplantae, Streptophyta, Magnoliopsida, Fabales, Fabaceae. The record is from RefSeq and is a predicted model, not a curated record. The transcript has 5 exons.